This 1542-nucleotide ribosomal RNA is filed under the name Escherichia coli str. 'clone D i14'. RNAcentral's name for it is "bacterial SSU rRNA". It matches the Rfam family "Bacterial small subunit ribosomal RNA". RNAcentral also lists the same sequence under 1 other name. Lineage: Bacteria; Pseudomonadati; Pseudomonadota; Gammaproteobacteria; Enterobacterales; Enterobacteriaceae. The record is from RNAcentral.
AAAUUGAAGAGUUUGAUCAUGGCUCAGAUUGAACGCUGGCGGCAGGCCUAACACAUGCAAGUCGAACGGUAACAGGAAGCAGCUUGCUGCUUUGCUGACGAGUGGCGGACGGGUGAGUAAUGUCUGGGAAACUGCCUGAUGGAGGGGGAUAACUACUGGAAACGGUAGCUAAUACCGCAUAACGUCGCAAGACCAAAGAGGGGGACCUUCGGGCCUCUUGCCAUCGGAUGUGCCCAGAUGGGAUUAGCUAGUAGGUGGGGUAAAGGCUCACCUAGGCGACGAUCCCUAGCUGGUCUGAGAGGAUGACCAGCCACACUGGAACUGAGACACGGUCCAGACUCCUACGGGAGGCAGCAGUGGGGAAUAUUGCACAAUGGGCGCAAGCCUGAUGCAGCCAUGCCGCGUGUAUGAAGAAGGCCUUCGGGUUGUAAAGUACUUUCAGCGGGGAGGAAGGGAGUAAAGUUAAUACCUUUGCUCAUUGACGUUACCCGCAGAAGAAGCACCGGCUAACUCCGUGCCAGCAGCCGCGGUAAUACGGAGGGUGCAAGCGUUAAUCGGAAUUACUGGGCGUAAAGCGCACGCAGGCGGUUUGUUAAGUCAGAUGUGAAAUCCCCGGGCUCAACCUGGGAACUGCAUCUGAUACUGGCAAGCUUGAGUCUCGUAGAGGGGGGUAGAAUUCCAGGUGUAGCGGUGAAAUGCGUAGAGAUCUGGAGGAAUACCGGUGGCGAAGGCGGCCCCCUGGACGAAGACUGACGCUCAGGUGCGAAAGCGUGGGGAGCAAACAGGAUUAGAUACCCUGGUAGUCCACGCCGUAAACGAUGUCGACUUGGAGGUUGUGCCCUUGAGGCGUGGCUUCCGGAGCUAACGCGUUAAGUCGACCGCCUGGGGAGUACGGCCGCAAGGUUAAAACUCAAAUGAAUUGACGGGGGCCCGCACAAGCGGUGGAGCAUGUGGUUUAAUUCGAUGCAACGCGAAGAACCUUACCUGGUCUUGACAUCCACGGAAGUUUUCAGAGAUGAGAAUGUGCCUUCGGGAACCGUGAGACAGGUGCUGCAUGGCUGUCGUCAGCUCGUGUUGUGAAAUGUUGGGUUAAGUCCCGCAACGAGCGCAACCCUUAUCCUUUGUUGCCAGCGGUCCGGCCGGGAACUCGAAGGAGACUGCCAGUGAUAAACUGGAGGAAGGUGGGGAUGACGUCAAGUCAUCAUGGCCCUUACGACCAGGGCUACACACGUGCUACAAUGGCGCAUACAAAGAGAAGCGACCUCGCGAGAGCAAGCGGACCUCAUAAAGUGCGUCGUAGUCCGGAUUGGAGUCUGCAACUCGACUCCAUGAAGUCGGAAUCGCUAGUAAUCGUGGAUCAGAAUGCCACGGUGAAUACGUUCCCGGGCCUUGUACACACCGCCCGUCACACCAUGGGAGUGGGUUGCAAAAGAAGUAGGUAGCUUAACCUUCGGGAGGGCGCUUACCACUUUGUGAUUCAUGACUGGGGUGAAGUCGUAACAAGGUAACCGUAGGGGAACCUGCGGUUGGAUCACCUCCUUA